AUGAACGCUGGCGGCGUGCCUAAUACCUGCCAGUCGAGCGAACGGACGAGAAUCUUGCUUCUCUGAUGUUCUCGGCGGACGGGUGAGUAACACGUUGAUAACCUACCUAUAAGUCUGGGUUAACUUCGGGAAACCGGAGCUAAUACCGGUUAAUAUUUUGAACCGCCUGGUUCAAAAGUGAAAGACGGUCUUGCUUUCACUUAUAGAUGGAUCCGCGCUGCAUUAGCUAGUUGGUAAGGUAACGGCUUACCAAGGCAACGAUGCAUAGCCGACCUGAGAGGGUGAUCGGCGACACUGGAACUGAGACACGGUCCAGACUCCUACGGGAGGAAGCAGUAGGGAAUCUUCCGCAAUGGGCGAAAGCCUGACGGAGCAACGCCGCGUGAGUGAUGAAGGUCUUCGGAUCGUAAAACUCUGUUAUUAGGGAAGAACAUAUGUGUAAGUAAAUGUGCACAGCUUGACGGUACCUAAUCAGAAAGCAACGGCUAACUACGUG
RNAcentral lists this ribosomal RNA (496 nucleotides) under uncultured bacterium. Its description in RNAcentral is "partial 16S ribosomal RNA". It matches the Rfam family "Bacterial small subunit ribosomal RNA", at positions 29 to 507 of the family's 1533-position model. The record is from RNAcentral.